UACCAGCACCCCGAGUGGUCGGGACGAUUAUUGGGCCUAAAGCAUCCGUAGCCGGUCAUGCAAGUCUUCCGUUAAAUCCAGCCGCUCAACGGUUGGGCUGCGGAGGAUACUACGUGGCUAGGAGGCGGGAGAGGCAAGCGGUACUCAGUGGGUAGGGGUAAAAUCCUUUGAUCCAUUGAAGACCACCAGUGGCGAAGGCGGCUUGCCAGAACGCGCCCGACGGUGAGGGAUGAAAGCUGGGGGAGCAAACCGG
RNAcentral lists this ribosomal RNA (253 nucleotides) under uncultured bacterium. RNAcentral's name for it is "partial 16S ribosomal RNA". It matches the Rfam family "Archaeal small subunit ribosomal RNA", at positions 474 to 727 of the family's 1478-position model. The record is from RNAcentral.